UGUGAAGGGAGAAGAAGAGGUAAAGGGUAGUGGGUUAAAGGAAGAAGAAGAAGCUUCUUUUAAUGGGUCUUGGAUUUGUUUGUUAGCGAAGAAGAAGAAGAAGUGGGUCUUCGAUUUCAGAGCAAAAAUUACCAAUGACUCUCUCCAUUUUUUUGUUUUUUCUUCCUUUUCUUUUUCAUUUCAUCCUUUUUUUCUUUAGAGCAAAAAAUAUGGAAUAUUAUAUCCAAGUGGUGGUCCUCCCAAGACCCUUCUUUUUCCUUUACGUGUCCACCCCUUUUGUCCGUUGGAAGAAAGAGGAAAAGUUUUCUUUUGUGGUCCCCCUCUACGCGUGUCCAUUCCUUAUUAUAGGGAG
Molecule: long non-coding RNA, 352 nt
Filed under: Lathyrus oleraceus (garden pea)
Lineage: Eukaryota; Viridiplantae; Streptophyta; Magnoliopsida; Fabales; Fabaceae
Description: Pisum sativum (pea) long non-coding RNA (PSAT_LNC021203)
Source: RNAcentral